RNAcentral lists this transfer RNA (56 nucleotides) under Edenia gomezpompae. RNAcentral's name for it is "tRNA-Ser". The record is from RNAcentral. Lineage: Eukaryota; Fungi; Ascomycota; Dothideomycetes; Pleosporales; Pleosporaceae.
AAGAAAAAGUACUAAAGGUAUACAUACUAGUGGGAGUUCGAAUCUCUCUAUUCUUA